Molecule: long non-coding RNA, 380 nt
Organism: Daphnia pulicaria
Lineage: Eukaryota; Metazoa; Arthropoda; Branchiopoda; Diplostraca; Daphniidae
Exons: 3
Source: RefSeq, a predicted model, not a curated record
UUGUCAUUGUUGUGCUUCGAUGGAGAUGUUCUAUAUCGCGCUUUUUGAUUCACUACUGCGUCGAUGGACAUGCGCCAUUUGAUAUUUUUGAGCGAUAUUGAGUUAGAGUACAACAGGCGUCAACCACCACUUUCUUUCUGGCAACUCUUCAAAGGAUACACAAGUCUAUACUUCAAAACUGGUUGUCGAAAAAGGCAAUAAGAGAAAGGAAGAUGAAGGGAAGUAUAUGGCAGAAGAGAGAGAUACGGACGAUUGGACGGCCGGGAGUAUCACCGGCAGCUGUACGUUGACGGGGUAACGAAGCACAAAUCCUGCGCAUCGCUGCUCGUCCGCAUUCAGGAUUCAAGGUUAAUGUCAUAUAAUACAGUCAUUGAAAUCCA